AAAGUGAGAUGGACUCUGGUAAAUAUGCCUUCAGGUGGAUGGCUCGGCUCAAGAGCUGAUGAGGGACGUGCCAAGCUGCGAUAAGCCCGGGGUAGGUGCAUGGAGCCUAUGAUCUCGGGAUCUCCUAAUGGGUCUUCCUAACACAUUUUGUGUGUUGAUCAACAAUGAUCGGGAACGCCCCGAAUUGAAGCAUCUUAGUAGGGGCAGGAAAAGAAAUCGAAGAGAUGCCGUUAGUAAUGGCGAAUGAACACGGUAAAGUUCAAACUGAAUCCCACUGGUAACAUGUGGGAGAUGUGGUGUUGUAGGUUUUUUCUAAAGGUCCCACCUGGUUGAAGUUUAACUUUUCUGGAACGUUAGACCAUAGAGUGUGAUAGUCACGUAAGCAACAACCAAAGGAUCUGGAUUAUAACCUGAGUAGCGUGGGUCGGAAUUCCCGCGUGAAUUUGGGAGGCACCAACUUCCAAAACUAAAUACUUCUUGAGACCGAUAGCGAACUAGUAGGGUGACCGAAAACUGAAAAGUACCCCAAGAAGGGAGGUUAAAAGUGCCUGAAACCUGGAGGCGAUGGAGCGAUAUGGCGUUAAAGGAUCUUUAUUGCGAAGGAAACAGUCGCGAGGCUGCAGUACGGGCAAUAUUGCCAAUGUCAUAUCUUACGUUUUGAAGAACGGGCCAGGGAGUGUAUUCAAAUGGCGAUGGCUAACUUGCAAAUAGGAAGCCGAAGCGAAAGCAACAUGCUCGCAACCGUAAGGUGAGGAGCGACGUAUACAAGUGCGUGGAGUCAUUAGGAUACGACCCGAAGCCGGGUGAUCUAGGCGUGGGCAGGUUGAAGCGUGGCGAAAGCUACGUGGAGGACCGCAAGCGGUAUUGAUCUGCAAAUCAUUCGUGUGACCUGCGUCUCGGAGUGAAAGGCUAAUCUAACCCGGCAUCAGCUGGUUCCUUCCGAAACAUGUCGUAGCAUGACCUAACUGGAGAUAGUCGGUGAAGUAGAGCACUGAUUGGUGGUCCCGGGGAAGAAAUUCCUCAGCCGCUUGUCAAACUCCAAACUCACCGUCGUCAAAGAAGGUUGGAGUCCGGACUACUGGGGUAAGCUUGUAGUCCGUAAGGGAGACAACCCAGCCCGUGGUUAAGGUCCCAAAGUGUCGACUAAGUGUUAAUACUAAAGGGCGUCCUAAGCCCUAGACAGCUGGAAGGUUAGCUUAGAAGCAGCUAUCCUUUAAAGAGUGCGUAACAGCCCACCAGUCGAGGUUUGGGGCCCCGAAAAUGGACGGGGCUCA
This 1274-nucleotide ribosomal RNA is filed under the name Methanolobus vulcani. Its description in RNAcentral is "bacterial LSU rRNA". It matches the Rfam family "Archaeal large subunit ribosomal RNA", at positions 1 to 1269 of the family's 2987-position model. The record is from RNAcentral. Lineage: Archaea; Methanobacteriati; Methanobacteriota; Methanomicrobia; Methanosarcinales; Methanosarcinaceae.